CCUCCAGGAUUCUGGCUGGAGAUUUGACUGCUCGCCACCGUCUCGCGGUCCUCUAGUGGUGGGUGGCAUGUUAGAAGCAGAAGAAUCCUGGGAACAGGGGGGUGACCGGUUGAGACGGGUGGAUGUGAAUCAGAGAUGUAGCAGAAGGGCAACAAAAAAUACCGUGGAUUACCUUGAUAAAAUAAGACAUCCUCGUUUCCCUGAGUUUAAACCCAAAGAUUGGUAUUGCCCAAUAACUGGAAAGUGGUGGGAAAUCUCCGAGCGAAACUUUGGAUAGCCGGGUCUUGUAGUAAUUGUAUCGUUAACUAGCAUGUGAUUUUGGGGCAUAGAGCCUGUUUUGUCCGAGUUUCAGUUUUCUCAUCUAAAUUUCUAGAUCUUACUAGCAACGAUCUCCUUUCUCACACUUGGUGACUAUCAAGGGAGAACCAAGGAUCGAAAGGAUCCCUAUCGCCAAUACUAUCAGAAUUCAGUGACUUCCUUACAUGUGGACAUUUUGGCUAGAUUCAAGGACCAAGCAAGAAAAUUGUGUAAGGCACAGGAAGAAGGAAGAUCAAAUUGGAAUUCCAGAUAACAUCAAGUUAAAACCUCUUUGGCCAAGCUGGCUGAAAAAUUUGAAUGAUCAGCUCUGAAAUUAAAAGAUUUUAUUAAACCAUUGCAUUUUUUCUUAAGAGCUGCUAUAUGUUUUAACAUAUCAUGAAUGCUUAAAUUCGUUUUUAAUGUACGUGUCCAGUUUGUAGACUUGCAUAUCAGGUCUGUGUAUAUGAAGUUUAUAUUUAUUGAAGUAUAGGAUAUUUAAGAAGUUGAUCUUCAAAGUUUUAUUUUACUUUUAAUUACUAAUUUCCAAACUUUUUAAAAGAAAAGAAUGUCUGUGGUACACCAGUUGUUACCUGGGUGGUUAUUGGAUCAUCUUUCUUUCAUUAACAAGAUAAAUUAUCAACUUUACCAGCAUCCUAAGCCUUGUUGCAAUAAAAAUGAGUCUGCUUCUUCAGUUCACUUGGAUUGUCUUCAAAAGGAUUCUGCAUCUUCUUUUGGAGCCUCUGCUACACUUAUUGCUCCUGACUCUAUCACUAAGCCAGAAAAUGAGGAUUCAAGAAAUUGUGAACUUCCCCCCCAAAAAUAUGUUUUUAGAUCUGAACUAUUUAAUGUCACCAAACCUUAUAUAACUCCAGCUGUUCACAAUAAAUGUCAACAAAGUAAUGAAAAAGAAGAUCUAUUGAAUGGUGUUAAAAAGGAAAUCUCCAGUUCUAUUAUUGGAAAGAAGCGUAAAAGAUGUGUUGUUUUCAAUCAAGGUGAAUUGGAUGCUAUGGAAUACCAUACAAAGAUCAGAGAGCUGAUUUUGGAUGGAUCUUUAAAAUUAAUCCAAGAAGGUCUCAAAAGUGGUUUUCUGUAUCCACUAUUUGAAAACCAGGACAAAUGUAAUGAACCCAUUACUUUACCACUUGAUACCUGCAAUUUGUCAGGAUUAUGUGAAAUGGCAAAGCAUUUACCUUCUAUGAAUGAAAUGGAACUUCAGACAUUACAAUUGAGAGAAGAUGAUAUGACUGUUACAGAGCAGGAUUUAUUUUCACGGGUUGUUGAAAAUAACUCUAGUUUUACAAAAAUGAUUACUUUAAUGGGACAGAAAUACCUCUUGCCACCAAAGUGCAGUUUUCUUUUAUCUGACAUUUCUUGUAUACAACCACUUCUGAACUGUAGGAAAACAUUCGAUGUAAUUGUGAUAGAUCCACCAUGGCAGAAUAAAUCAGUUAAAAGAAGUAAUAGGUACAGUUAUUUAUCGCCACUGCAAAUAAAGCAAAUACCUAUUCCGAAACUGGCUGCUCCAAAUUGCCUUGUUGUUACUUGGGUGACCAACAGACAGAAGCAUGUACGUUUUAUUAAGGAAGAACUUUAUCCUUCUUGGUCUGUGGAGAUAAUUGCUGAAUGGCAUUGGGUAAAAAUCACCAGUUCAGGAGAGUUUGUGUUCCCUUUAGAUUCUCCACACAAAAAGCCUUAUGAAGGUCUUAUACUGGGAAGAAUUGGAGAACAAACUACUUUACCAUUAAGGAAUACAGAUACAAAAGUUCUCCCCAUUCCAGAUCACAAAUUAAUUGUCAGCGUGCCCUGUAUUCUUCAUUCUCAUAAGCCACCUCUUGCUGUUUCUAUCUGAAGAGUGAAACAUAGCUGAUGAGAUUGUACGCAAUGAUGUUUGGGCCAUUUCUCCUCUUCUACCUCAUCCUAGAGCAAAAGAGUGAUGCUUGGAUAUGCAUUGUUUGCUUCCUUUCCAUUGGUUGGAAAGGUUCUAAAAGACUACAUCAAGCCUGAUGGGAAGUGUUUGGAAAUGUUUGCUCGAAAUUUACAGCCAGGUUGGACUAGUUGGGGAAAUGAAGUUCUCAAAUUUCAACAUGUGGAUUAUUUUGUUG
Ictidomys tridecemlineatus (thirteen-lined ground squirrel) is the source of this 2399-nucleotide non-coding RNA. The record is from RefSeq and is a predicted model, not a curated record. NCBI's taxonomy places the organism in Eukaryota, Metazoa, Chordata, Mammalia, Rodentia, Sciuridae.